This 253-nucleotide ribosomal RNA is filed under the name uncultured bacterium. RNAcentral describes it as "partial 16S ribosomal RNA". It matches the Rfam family "Bacterial small subunit ribosomal RNA", at positions 524 to 776 of the family's 1533-position model. The record is from RNAcentral.
UACGUAGGGUGCGAGCGUUAAUCGGAAUUACUGGGCGUAAAGCGUGCGCAGGCGGUUUUGUAAGCCAGAUGUGAAAGCCCCGGGCUUAACCUGGGAAUGGCAUUUGGGACUGCAAGGCUCGAGUGCGGCAGAGGAGACUGGAAUUCCUGGUGUAGCAGUGAAAUGCGUAGAUAUCAGGAGGAAUACCGAUGGCGAAGGCAGCCCCCUGGGCCAACACUGACGCUCAGGCACGAAAGCGUGGGGAGCAAACAGG